UAAGCGUACACGGUGGAUGCCCUGGCAGUCAGAGGCGAUGAAGGACGUGCUAAUCUGCGAUAAGCGUCGGUAAGGUGAUAUGAACCGUUAUAACCGGCGAUUUCCGAAUGGGGAAACCCAGUGUGUUUCGACACACUAUCAUUAACUGAAUCCAUAGGUUAAUGAGGCGAACCGGGGGAACUGAAACAUCUAAGUACCCCGAGGAAAAGAAAUCAACCGAGAUUCCCCCAGUAGCGGCGAGCGAACGGGGAGGAGCCCAGAGCCUGAAUCAGUGUGUGUGUUAGUGGAAGCGUCUGGAAAGGCGCGCGAUACAGGGUGACAGCCCCGUACACAAAAAUGCACAUGCUGUGAGCUCGAUGAGUAGGGCGGGACACGUGGUAUCCUGUCUGAAUAUGGGGGGACCAUCCUCCAAGGCUAAAUACUCCUGACUGACCGAUAGUGAACCAGUACCGUGAGGGAAAGGCGAAAAGAACCCCGGCGAGGGGAGUGAAAAAGAACCUGAAACCGUGUACGUACAAGCAGUGGGAGCACAGAGCAAUCUGUGUGACUGCGUACCUUUUGUAUAAUGGGUCAGCGACUUAUAUUCUGUAGCAAGGUUAACCGAAUAGGGGAGCCGAAGGGAAACCGAGUCUUAACUGGGCGUUAAGUUGCAGGGUAUAGACCCGAAACCCGGUGAUCUAGCCAUGGGCAGGUUGAAGGUUGGGUAACACUAACUGGAGGACCGAACCGACUAAUGUUGAAAAAUUAGCGGAUGACUUGUGGCUGGGGGUGAAAGGCCAAUCAAACCGGGAGAUAGCUGGUUCUCCCCGAAAGCUAUUUAGGUAGCGCCUCGUGAAUUCAUCUCCGGGGGUAGAGCACUGUUUCGGCAAGGGGGUCAUCCCGACUUACCAACCCGAUGCAAACUGCGAAUACCGGAGAAUGUUAUCACGGGAGACACACGGCGGGUGCUAACGUCCGUCGUGAAGAGGGAAACAACCCAGACCGCCAGCUAAGGUCCCAAAGUCAUGGUUAAGUGGGAAACGAUGUGGGAAGGCCCAGACAGCCAGGAUGUUGGCUUAGAAGCAGCCAUCAUUUAAAGAAAGCGUAAUAGCUCACUGGUCGAGUCGGCCUGCGCGGAAGAUGUAACGGGGCUAAACCAUGCACCGAAGCUGCGGCAGCGACGCUGAUGCGUUGUUGGGUA
This 1180-nucleotide ribosomal RNA is filed under the name Escherichia coli. RNAcentral's name for it is "partial 23S ribosomal RNA". It matches the Rfam family "Bacterial large subunit ribosomal RNA", at positions 12 to 1230 of the family's 2925-position model. Lineage: Bacteria; Pseudomonadati; Pseudomonadota; Gammaproteobacteria; Enterobacterales; Enterobacteriaceae. The record is from RNAcentral.